GGAGAGGUGUCAGAGUGGCCGAACGAGCACGCUUGGAAAGCGUGUGUACAGCAAUGUACCGAGGGUUCGAAUCCCUCCCUCUCCGCCA
Molecule: transfer RNA, 88 nt
Filed under: Mariprofundaceae bacterium
Lineage: Bacteria; Pseudomonadati; Pseudomonadota; Candidatius Mariprofundia; Mariprofundales; Mariprofundaceae
Description: tRNA-Ser
Rfam family: tRNA
About the family: Transfer RNA (tRNA) molecules are approximately 80 nucleotides in length.
Source: RNAcentral